Molecule: ribosomal RNA, 501 nt
Filed under: uncultured bacterium
Lineage: Bacteria
Description: partial 16S ribosomal RNA
Rfam family: Bacterial small subunit ribosomal RNA
Source: RNAcentral
AUUGAACGCUGGCGGCAGGCUUAACACAUGCAAGUCGAGCGGGGGAAGGUAGCUUGCUACCGGACCUAGCGGCGGACGGGUGAGUAAUGCUUAGGAAUCUGCCUAUUAGUGGGGGACAACAUCUCGAAAGGGAUGCUAAUACCACAUACGUCCUACGGGAGAAAGCAGGGGAUCUUCGGACCUUGCGCUAAUAGAUGAGCCUAAGUCAGAUUAGCUGGUUGGUGGGGUAAAGGCCUACCAAGGCGACGAUCUGUAGCGGGUCUGAGAGGAUGAUCCGCCACACUGGGACUGAGACACGGCCCAGACUCCUACGGGAGGCAGCAGUGGGGAAUAUUGGACAAUGGGGGGAACCCUGAUCCAGCCAUGCCGCGUGUGUGAAGAAGGCCUUAUGGUUGUAAAGCACUUUAAGCGAGGAGGAGGCUACUUUAGUUAAUACCUAGAGAUAGUGGACGUUACUCGCAGAAUAAGCACCGGCUAACUCUGUGCCAGCCGCCGCGGUAA